RNAcentral lists this long non-coding RNA (3591 nucleotides) under Gallus gallus (chicken). RNAcentral's name for it is "long non-coding RNA NONGGAT001020". Lineage: Eukaryota; Metazoa; Chordata; Aves; Galliformes; Phasianidae. The record is from RNAcentral.
CAGAUCUGCUGGGGAAAGUAUAUGGAGGCAGCGCUGUGGCUAAGUGCCACAGUAUGCGCUUGGGCAUCCACAGGGUGAGUGUCAGGAAGACCACAUCUUUGCCCUGAGAGAGAGCUAAUGAUAUUGAAGUUAUUUCUGAGGGAUAUUUGCCCAACCCAUUAUAAAAAUCUGUUUAAAGGCAGAUUCCUCCCCCACCAGGUCUUCUCAGCACCAUGUUACCCACCAGUUAUUCGUAGUGGCUGCUCACAACUGGGAUGGGGAAGAGGAUCCAUGCCCCUCUCUGCACAGAGAAAUCCAUGUCAGGUGAGAGGCUGUUUCUGAAGCCUCACUGCCCUCUAGAAACCCAAAGCAGAGUCAAAACCAACUUACAUACCUGUCUCACCGUGUUUCACCUCAAGUUGACCUUCCAUUCCCCACUUGUAGGCUUGGUGAUCUGAAGUCAUGAAAGUGCUUAGGGUGUUCUUGGCCAAAGUCUAUGAGAUUCCUGCCUGAAUCCUGAUGUUUCUGAGAGACACCAAAUGUUCCUUCUCUACGUGUAGCCUGAAUACCUCAACAUGAACCGGAAACAGCAUGUUCUCAAGGUCUCAAAACUAUGCUAACCCACUUUGGCCUUCCUUCCCAUAGGCUUUUUCCUCUGGAGCAGUUAUCUCCACCAAAGUCAAUUGGUAUGUGCCGCAUCCAUUGAUAUAGGUGCAGGUAUUGUGCUCUGUUCUCAGUCCAAAGCACUCCAAAUGGCAAACUGUGCAUCAGCUUUUACCCUCACUGGUGAGCCUCCAUUUGGAAGACUACCUAGGUUUAAGCAGUUUUUGUCACCCUCUUAAGAGGCUUUCUAGCCCAGGUUUCACUGUGGUUUUGUUUACAAUAGAGAUGACCCAAUUUUUGUAUACAUUCAGCGAGUAACAGUAUUUAUUAUACACUGCCAGGCACUGACUAAAAUUUAACAGCAAAAAAUUCGACUAUGGCAAAAGAGAAUAUAUAGGACUGUGGCUCACUGAGAGCGUUUAUCUUCCACAAACAUUAAAAUUUCCAUACAGUGAGGUAUGGGGUACAGUAUAUUUUUACUACAGGAUAAAACGUGGGGAAAAAGAACCAACUUAAGUGCAUAUGUCCACUGAGACCACUCCAGUUUUCUUGUAAGAUAUUUUCUAAUGUUGGCUUAGUAGAAGCCCAUUUUCAAUUUACAAGUUCCCUAACUGGAAGAAAAAAUGAAGAGAGAAAAGUUGGUAUAGCUGGAAUAAUUUCACCAUAAAAAUUAAGUGAUGAAGCCAGACUUUUCUGCCCAAAGCUUUAAGUGAAAUUGUUCCACUUAGAUUGAAAUUGGAGCUGUGAAGGCUGAGAAAAACCUGCCUAGCAAAGAAAAGGAACUUCUUUUCCAAAGGCAAGCAAAUGCAUUUAGCUUGGACAACUGCGUGAACCCGGAGGGAAAACAACACCAGAGUGGCUUGAGGUUGCAUUGAGCCAUGUGAGGAUUCGCGUCUGCUCUCAGAAGCUUUCUGAGCCAGCGCUGCAUUCAGAAUUCUUACUCAGAGAAAAGCAGCUGGCUUUUAAUGUAUCUGAAACAGACAUACCUCCCUGAUAAAAUACUCAUCUGUCUGAGGGAUUUUUUUCUUCUUCUGACAAUGCAAUCGAUUUUCCUUCUGGACAAAAGGAGCCCUCAUGCACAUCACCUGCGGUAGGAAGUGGGAAAUACCAGCUCUCCUAAGGUGAUCGCCAAGUCAAGAACAUCUGCAAUUGAAUUUCCCUCUUUUCUUUCCUGGGCAAAGCUGACCUGGGUUUGCCUAUUCUCAGCCCUGCGUAAAUCACCGCACUGCACCGAGGGGCUGCCAGGAGGUACGAUUUCAGGAUGUUCCCAUUGGUCAGACCCACUAAUGGGAAGCACUUCUGCCCAUGGUUAAGACCUUACUGGAAGGGUUGCUACAGAAGCUAUGACAGGAAAGCCGAAAGCGUUUUUGCUGCGCUGACUUUUCUCUGAUAUAUGGGAGUGAUGUGACGUAUAUUACUCGAUCUGAAAAGGAGAAACAUUCAAAGUCCAUUGUCAGAACACCACAGUGUAUUUAAUAUCUCCUUCUGUGUGGAUGUUAUCCAGCAGAUUUAUAAUACAGACACUGCAGAAGUGGGGAGAGUAAAGAGAGAGGCAGAGAGAGAAAAAUACCUCUCGGACGACUCAUUUGGCACUCUCCAAAUCUCUCUCUAUCAAAGGAACGGUUAUUGCCUCACAGUCAGGGGUGACACCAAGCCUGAAGAAUCUCAUUUACAAGGAAAGGUUAAAAGAAUUGGGCUUAGAAAUGGGAAGUUUGGAGUUGACUUAUGUGUCUUCAGAAUUGCAGAAAGGAUUGCUAACAUCUGUGAGUUCCUUUUCUUUUCCCAGCAUGUGCUUCAAAAGCCAGCAUCUCAGAAUACAGAAUAUUUGAAGUGAGAAGCAAAUAAUAAAUUUAUGGAGAAGGCUUCACAGGUAGAACUGACAAAUAUAUAUUGGAGAUGGGAGACAAAAAUUGGACCCAGAUCAGAGAUACCUAAAUUUACUGUAGAGAACUCCAUAAAAACCUGCAUGGAAAAACUCUCAGAUGUACUCACAGGCCUGAAGAACUAACUCUUCAGGUGGUCUGUUCCAGCACCUGGCUGAACACAAGGUAAGAGUUUUAAAUUACUGACACCUGCAACAACAGAGCUUUAAACUCUGGAGCCUGGGUAAGGGAGAAAUUGUUUAAAAAUGAUGAGACAUAAAUGUAAUGGCAAACUCUUGGUGUAUAUCAGCAUCUCUCCGUGGACUUCAGAGGUCUAAUAUCACUGGGUUAAAGCAUGGCCAGUCAUUCUCCAGGUGACUGUUUCCCUCUUCCUGUACCAGCCAAAGGCUGAGUCUCGCAUUGCCAGUCCUCUUCCGAAGGCAAACAGCCUCUCUGACACUGCCCAGGUACCAGCGUACGUGGGGCAUAGAGCCAAGGCUGGACCAGCACAGCCUUAAUGAGGAGCACCCCAUGCCUGAGCCGCUGCUGGGCAUAGCCUUAUUACUCCGUCAUCAGAGAGGCAUGCAUUCAUAUUUCUACUGCUCUUUAAAGGCUUAUAAGACAAAUUGGCCUCUGUGGUACUCUGUAGAUGUGCUAAAGACAUGGACGUGCUAUGGAUGCUAUCCAGGCCUACUUACACUUGUGCUUUUCCAGUGCUUGGUAACCUUUGGCUUCAUGCCAUGCAGCCCAUCUGAGAUUCAUACUGCAGGUUUUACUGGGAUAACUGUUUUUGUUUAGAUCAAACCAGUCUCUGUAUACAUGGAUUGUUUCAUUUGUCCCGUAAUGUUUUUCACACCUGCCAUCUCUGUCCUCUGUUAGCGCAUUAGGAAAUAAAGGUGGCAACAGCAGGAAAAAGAAUAAGUAAAAGUCCAGGUAGAAGCCUCAUUAUUUUUCCUAAGUGGCAGCUGAUUUUGUAAGGCUCCAUUACCAGUAAUUUUGUGAGGUUCCAUUUCCACUAUCCAAUUUUCAAAAGAUUCUUCAUACUCUGUUCCUAUGCCAGGAAACCUCUGGGUUUUCAGUAUACUGAUACGGCAGAGUAUAACAGCCAGCUCCAAAACACAUUGCCCAGCAGGUAAAAAUAAAACAU